Molecule: long non-coding RNA, 3330 nt
Organism: Anopheles gambiae (African malaria mosquito)
Lineage: Eukaryota; Metazoa; Arthropoda; Insecta; Diptera; Culicidae
Exons: 2
Source: RefSeq, a predicted model, not a curated record
UAGUCUUGCAUGCGACAUCAACGAAGAGAGAUCGUCUUGACCGUGAGGGCUCCCAAUUUUACGGUGAAAGAAAACUACUACCCCACCCCCUCAAGUUACAGUCCACCGCUAGAGACACGACAAGAACACAGAUCGAACACAAAUGAGCCAGUUCGAACGCGUUCGAUGAAUUCCACACCAACAGCACACGUAUGAACACUGCUGGACAAAUUCGACGGCGUUCGAGGAAUUGAAUUGUAUAGGCCUCGCUACACGAACCGAAAACUCGAGGCGAAAACUCAAAAAUCAGACAUCUUUACGUCAAAAAGAUUUCGGGUCGUGUAGACGCGUUUUGUGCACCACCGAAAACACAAAGCCGCUGUCAAUUGAAGCAAGCGUUUGUUUACAAGCAGAAUCGUUUACGCGUUGUUAUCGAUCGUGUGUAAAUUUAGCCGGAUAAAAAUGGAUAAUCUUUUAAUGAGUGAAGAAUGGUUGGCUUCGCUAUCGUGGGCGGUAGAACUAAACGUGGAACAGCUAAGGGGUCGCAACUAGCGAAUUGUGCGCAGCUGGUGGAUGCGACCAAUGUUUUUCCAGCGACGUCAAGACGGCAACCGUUUGUUGGAUGAUAUUGUCGCAGAACGGACCAACGAAACAAUUAAUACCUUCAUUCGCGUAAUACCAGAAGAUUUGGAAUUUUUAUUUUUAUGGGCGAUGUCAUCACCACUCAAGAAAGAUUGAUAAUAUUGCUUCACUACAUAACUACAGGCCAUACCUUCAGUAGCUUGCAAUUUUUAUUUCAGGUGUCUCGUUCUUCGAUUAGCAGAAUUGUGAAAGAGACGAGUCUUUGUUUAUAAAGUGUUACGUCCCUAUUUGAAGAUAUGCGUUUGAAUAGUGUUUGAUGUACUAAAAAGUUCAUGUUUUAUUAUAUUUUGAUUCAUGUGUGAUUCAUGUCAUCUUACAACUCAAGUUAAACUAAUUAUUCAAUUAUUUUUUAAUUCAUUUUUCAUUUUCAUUCAAAACAAUUCAAAACAUAAACACUACCUUAAAGCUACAAUAAAAAAUCAAAGUAGUAACUAAAACAAAAUUCUAAAUAAACCCUAUCCUAUCCUAAUUCUAUACUAUAUGGUAACUAUUUACAAGACUAUCUACUAUCUAACUAACUAUUAACUUAUUAUAUACAACUAUUUACAUAACUCAUGGCUGAUCCCCAUCGCGACGGUUGGCCCGGUUGGCCAACACAAACUCCUCGGCAUCUAGCAUGGUUCGCUGAAUCCUUGAGUUCACAACACGCUAUUCCUCUGGCGUGAACCUCGUCAGGAAUUCAGCGACCCAGCGGCCAAACACAUUCUCCGAUGAGUUUGCAUUGGCCAUCGUGGCUUCCGCCACGCGUGUGAGGGCCUCGCUCAUACGAAGCCCCUCGUCACUAGUCACUAGUUCGUCGACGACGCCGUCCUUGCCGAGGAUGGGACAGGUUUUGGAUGGGAGAGGCUUGGGAAGGACGGGAGACUUGAUGAGGAAAGGAUACCUGAGAAGGGCAGGGAAGGGGAGAAUUUCGGGAUGGUGUAGGAUGACGGAUUGGUUGAUGGAGGUUGGAGGUUGAUUGGGACUAAAGAGGUUCGCUAGGAUUGAAGGAUUGGGUGGAAAAAGUGUUUGUAGGGUCGGGACUAAGGGAACAAGGUGGAUCAUACUCAAUGUAUGAGUGAUCGGCAAGGAUCCGGGAUCGUGCAACUGCCGAACCCGUUGUGACGAGGGAGUUCAGAGCAAGGCCCUCAUCUUCCUCGUCAAGCUGAAAUGAAAAAUGGGUACAAAAUUAUUAGAAAUAAUAAUGGAAAAAAAUCUUGUUUGCAAUAUAGAAAAUGUAUGUUUAUAUUAAUAAUCCUUUCAUCUACAUAAAAAUACUUUAUACACAGUAAAAUUAUGGGAUAAUCUCGCGUCUUUUUUUUAAAUUUAACAUUUAUUAUUACUAAUAAAUAGUCUAAGGUUCAUUAUGUUUACUUUACAAAGGCUUUCGUUUUAAUUGAAAUGCACGCCAAUUCAAUGUUCUUUUUUUAUUUUCAGCUACCGUCCACUAAACAACAAUGGCUGGAGGUAUCACAAAGGUUUGAGCAGCGUUGGAACUUCCCCCAUGCCAUUGGUGCGAUGGACGGAAAGCAUGUCAAAAUCCGCGCUCCUGUACACAGUGGAUCCGAUUACUACAAUUACAAAAACUUUUUUAGUAAUGUGCUUCUAGUAAUAGUGGACGCUGACUACAAUUUUCUGUUCGCGGAUGCGGGAGGAAAAGGAGGCAUUUCGGAUGGAGGAAUACUUCGAAACAGUCGAUUGUUUCAAAAACUGGAAAACAAGUUGUUGAAUAUACCUGAUCCAGAGCCUUUGCGAGUACCAUAUAGAGUUCCAGUACCGUACUUCUUGCUAGGAGACUAGGCUUUCGCCUAUACCGAUUACUGCAUCCGUCCAUUUGGUGGAAUCCAUUCACCUGGAAGUUAUCAGCGCAUUUUCAACUAUAGACAUUCCCGAGCUCGAAUCCCCGUUGAAAAUGCGCUGGGAAUUGUGACAAACAAAUUCGAAGUAUUAAGUGGGCCAAUACGUCUUCCACCGGAUGUAGCAAAACACGUUGUUUUAACGCCAUUAUAUUUACACAAUUUCUUGCGUAAAAGUGCUUCAAGGCAUAUCUACUCGCCACCAUCUUCAUUCGACAGAGUCGUUAACGGAAACUUGGUACCUGGCGAUUGGAGAGCCAAUGAAGGGUUAGCAGGUCUGCAAGGUGUUUCGUCAAGGGCACCUGAUCGAUUGUUGAAUAUUCGAACGCAUAUGGCACUAGACUUUAAACAUAAUUAUAAUCAUUAUGGUUGAACUAUUAACCAUAAUGGUCAGGUCGUUGCACAACAUGUCAAAUAAGAAUAAGCCAUUGAAAUACAACGAAUUUGUUUGAAUUGAUUUAUCAACGACAUCGUCCUUAACCUUCACUAAUAACAUGUUAUGAUAUUGAUGUGAUAUUAUCUAUAUAUUUGACAUUAACCAUACAAAUUGACCAACACGCUGAAACAGCUACUUUAACGAUGAAAUGAGUUUCAUUGUGAUUGUUGGACUCUCAAAACAUGAAGACUAACAUAAAAAAAAUCAACAGAAAUAUGAAAUAAAAUGAAAUAUAACUACAUUAAUCGAUUAUAAACGGUUUAUUGGCAACAGUUGAUUUACUGAUCAAUGAAGACAAAUAAUUAUAUUCCUUAACUAGUAAAAACAUAUAUAAUAUUUUAAUAUUGAUGUAAUAUAUUGAUAAUAUAAUAUUGAGAGGCUUUACUCUGGUAAACUUAGGGUUCGGAGGUGAAAAUAAAGUAUUUAAUAAAAACAAAA